GCAGACACAUUCCAGCCAAUCAGCAGCAGACCCUCCCUCCCAGACCCUCCCACCUCCUGGACAGCAUCCAUUUUACAUCCAUUGUGAAGCUGCAUUCUUAGUGAGCUGUCCAGGAGGUGGGAGGGUCUGGGAGGGAGGGUCUGCUGCUGAUUGGCUGAAAUGUGUCUG
RNAcentral lists this microRNA precursor (168 nucleotides) under Pelobates cultripes (western spadefoot toad). Lineage: Eukaryota; Metazoa; Chordata; Amphibia; Anura; Pelobatidae. The record is from RNAcentral.